UACGUAGGGGGCGAGCGUUGUCCGGAAUUAUUGGGCGUAAAGCGCGUGCAGGCGGUUUUUUAAGUCUGUGGUGAAAGACCGGGGCUCAACCCCGGAGUGUCCAUGGAGACUGGAAGACUGGAGUGUCGGAGAGGAGUGCGGAAUCCCUGGUGUAGCGGUGGAAUGCGUAGAGAUCAGGGGGAACACCGAUGGCGAAGGCAGCACUCUGGCCGAAUACUGACGCUGAGGCGCGAAAGCCAGGGGAGCGAACGGG
Molecule: ribosomal RNA, 253 nt
Filed under: uncultured bacterium
Lineage: Bacteria
Description: partial 16S ribosomal RNA
Rfam family: Bacterial small subunit ribosomal RNA
Source: RNAcentral